Molecule: ribosomal RNA, 403 nt
Filed under: uncultured bacterium
Lineage: Bacteria
Description: partial 16S ribosomal RNA
Rfam family: Bacterial small subunit ribosomal RNA
Source: RNAcentral
AUUGAACGCUGGCGGCAGGCCUAACACAUGCAAGUCGAGCGAGCGGCGGACGGGUGAGUAAUGUAUGGGGACUGCCCGAUAGAGGGGGAUAACUACUGGAAACGGUAGCUAAUACCGCAUACUAUCGGAUAACCCAUAUGGGAUUAGCUAGUAGGUGGGGUAAUGGCUCACCUAGGCGACGAUCCCUAGCUGGGCUGUGAGGAUGAUCAGCCACAUUGGUACUGAGACACGGCCCAGACUCUUACGGAGGGAGCCGUGGGGAAUAUUGUACAAUGGGCGCAAGCCUGAUGCAGACAUGCCGCGUGAAUGAAGAAGGCCCUAGGUUUGUAAAGUACUUUAAGUCGGGAGGCGUUACCGACAGAAGAAGCACCGGCUAACUCCGUGCCAGCAGCCGCGGUAAUAC